Molecule: ribosomal RNA, 399 nt
Filed under: uncultured bacterium
Lineage: Bacteria
Description: bacterial SSU rRNA
Rfam family: Bacterial small subunit ribosomal RNA
Source: RNAcentral
GGGGAAUAUUGGACAAUGGGGGCAACCCUGAUCCAGCAAUGCCGCGUGGGUGAAGAAGGUCUUCGGAUUGUAAAGCCCUUUCGGCGGGGACGAUGAUGACGGUACCCGCAGAAGAAGCCCCGGCUAACUUCGUGCCAGCAGCCGCGGUAAUACGAAGGGGGCUAGCGUUGCUCGGAAUGACUGGGCGUAAAGGGCGCGUAGGCGGCACAGUCAGUCAGAUGUGAAAUUCCUGGGCUUAACCUGGGGGCUGCAUUUGAGACGGCUGAGCUUGAGUUCGGAAGAGGGUCGUGGAAUUCCCAGUGUAGAGGUGAAAUUCGUAGAUAUUGGGAAGAACACCGGUGGCGAAGGCGGCGACCUGGUCCGGGACUGACGCUGAGGCGCGAAAGCGUGGGGAGCAAA